This 415-nucleotide ribosomal RNA is filed under the name uncultured bacterium. RNAcentral's name for it is "bacterial SSU rRNA". It matches the Rfam family "Bacterial small subunit ribosomal RNA", at positions 96 to 524 of the family's 1533-position model. The record is from RNAcentral.
UGGCGCACGGGUGCGUAACACGUAGCUAACGUACCUCCUUGCUGGGGAUAACUCCGGGAAACCGGAGCUAAUACCGAAUAGUCUGAUACGGUCUGCGGAUUGUAUCGGUAAAGCCUUCGGGCGCGAGGAGAUCGGGCUGCGUCCCAUUAGUUUGAUGGUGGGGUAACGGCCUACCAUGGCGACGAUGGGUAGCUGGUCUGAGAGGAUGAUCAGCCACACUGGAACUGAAACACGGUCCAGACUCCCACGGGAGGCAGCAGUUGGGAAUAUUGGACAAUGGGGGAAACCCUGAUCCAGCAAUCCCGCGUGAGUGAUGAAGGCUCUCGGGUCGUAAAGCUCUUUCAAGCAGGAAAGAAGAUCUGACGGUACCUGCAGAAGAAGCACCGGCUAACUCCGUGCCAGCAGCCGCGGUAAU